UUUUUUGUUUCCCAUGCGACUUUCCCCAAUAGUGGCAUCAUGAGCUAGGUUCAUCCGUAGAUGAUAUCUCGAGUAGGACACAAAAGAGUUUGUGUGUGUUGAUGUUCAAUUUGCUACCCUCCUUAGUCUUUUCUUUAUUCAGCGGUAUUGUUGGAUUCAAGCAGCCCGGACCAACAUUACUCACACGCUUACGAGAGAC
RNAcentral lists this long non-coding RNA (199 nucleotides) under Hordeum vulgare. RNAcentral's name for it is "long non-coding RNA (HVUL_LNC000583)". The record is from RNAcentral. Lineage: Eukaryota; Viridiplantae; Streptophyta; Magnoliopsida; Poales; Poaceae.